AAAUCACAAUAGCAGUAGUUAACCAACCAAUUCCUAAUCUACAUAUUAUCGGUAUUUAUCGCUCAGAGACAAAGGUAAAAAUGGCAAACUUCAUUGAUGCACUUAAUCAUCUUUAUAAUAUAAAAUUGACAAAUCCUGAAGUUCCCACAAUUCUUCUUGGUGAUUUCAACGUUGAUUUAUUGAAAACACACCAGGAAAGGAAAAACUUGUACAAUGCUUGAUAAGAGAGAAAGGCUACACACAGUUAAUAAAUCAGUAAACUACUGACUAUCAUACACUAAUAGAUCAUAUUUAUACCAAUGUGCCACAUCUUGUACGAUCAUCAGGUGUUCUUGAAUCCUACUAUAGUGACCACAAACCCAUCUAUAUUUCGCUUGAAGCUGCUGAAUAAUCUCAAUACUGUAAUAUGGUCUUAAAAAUAAUUACAAUAAUUUUCAUUAAACAAUUGUAAAAAUAGUAAAAAAAAACAAUAAUAUUGUAGUGACAAAAAUAUAACUAUUUUGGGUUGCCUCCCCACAGUAGCAUGCCUGGUACAUGAAUUAGGGUUGAGUCUGAGUCUGGCUCCUGGAGUUUUAUUCUACCUCAUCACCUUGGAUGUAAAGUUCCAAAGAUUCUUAUUGAGAUAGCAAUAGAAUCAAGACGUACAUAGACAAGCAUGAGACAAGUAUGAGUCUCCAACCUGGCUCCUGGAGUUUUAUUCUAUCUAAUCACCUUGGAUGUAAAGUUCCAAAGAUUCUUAUUGAGAUAGCAAUAGAAUCAAAAUGUA
Nematostella vectensis (starlet sea anemone) is the source of this 766-nucleotide long non-coding RNA. RefSeq lists it as uncharacterized. The transcript is spliced from 2 exons. Lineage: Eukaryota; Metazoa; Cnidaria; Anthozoa; Actiniaria; Edwardsiidae. The record is from RefSeq and is a predicted model, not a curated record.